GACGAACGCUGGCGGCGUGCUUAACACAUGCAAGUCGAACGGAAAGGCCCUGCUUUUGUGGGGUGCUCGAGUGGCGAACGGGUGAGUAACACGUGAGUAACCUGCCCUUGACUUUGGGAUAACUUCAGGAAACUGGGGCUAAUACCGGAUAGGAGCUCCUGCUGCAUGGUGGGGGCUGGAAAGUUUCGGCGGUUGGGGAUGGACUCGCGGCUUAUCAGCUUGUUGGUGGGGUAGUGGCUUACCAAGGCUUUGACGGGUAGCCGGCCUGAGAGGGUGACCGGGCACAUGGGGACUGCGAUACGGCCCAGACUCCUACGGGGGGCAGCAGUGGGGAAUAUUGCACAGUGGGCGGAAGCCUGAUGCAGCAGCGCCGCGUGCGGGAUGACGGCCUUCGGGUUGUAAACCGCUUUCGCCUGUGACGAAGCGUGAGUGACGGUAAUGGAUAAAGAAGCACCGGCUAACUACGUG
RNAcentral lists this ribosomal RNA (468 nucleotides) under uncultured bacterium. RNAcentral describes it as "partial 16S ribosomal RNA". It matches the Rfam family "Bacterial small subunit ribosomal RNA", at positions 28 to 507 of the family's 1533-position model. The record is from RNAcentral.